UGGGAUAUCAUUUCUCUAUCAUAAACUGGGAGAGUUUUCCAAGUGGAUGUUGAAAGUUCCUGGUUUUGACACUGCAAAUGAAACUUUGCUGAGAAUCAGCACUCCAGGAAAGAGAACUUGGCUAAGUAGGGUUGGCCAUAGUGCUGCCACAGGAGACUAGUGCCUACUGGCUACUGGGAGAGAAGCAGCAUACGAGGAGAAAGGCAAGCAGCACAAAGGCAAUUGGAAGUCUGAAUGGUGAAACCCCCAGAUGUCCUGCAUCCAGGAAAAGAACACUUAGACAUAUACAUUACUUCAGGGAAAAAUUCAGCGUCGCAUGUCUUUUCUGUCAGGGCGUAUCCUAGAGCCCUGUCCCAGCAGCUGGUACCACUCAGACUUAGGGGCAGAAGAUCUAUUCUCAGCCCACCCAUGAGGGGACUACCAAAGAGGACUGACAGGAUACAUUCAAGUGACACAACUGAGAUCACCCUGAAGAGGUAUCUCUGAAACAAGAGGCUAUCAUGUAACUCAUCUUGAUGCAGGGAAGUAGAGGGCAAAGCACAACUUUUUAAUUAACUGUCUCUGUAUCACUGUCCAGAUCAAUAGGAUAAGGUGUCCCAUUGGAGCAUCUAAACCUACCUAAAGGUGACGUGUCUCAAGUAUAAUGAUGAGAGACUGUGUGAUUCACUGGCCUCCUCUGAGGGGAUUCUGUGCAGAGAACAGCCUGUAGGAAAAGGAUUGAAGGCUUAGUUCAACCCUGGAGAACCAUAUAAUGUAAUCAUGGGGCAUGGGGAAAGUUUGGCAAGCUGAUCAAAUACCAAUGUUUUGCUAUCUGUUAGAACUCUCUGCUUCUUGCUGUCAAGAUGAUGUGCUGAACAUGCCAUUGAUCUAGCUCCAGAGGUCAGUAUGACUAUGCCUUUCUUUGCAUGGCAAGUAGGUCACUAUUUUCUGUGCUAUGCAUGGCAUCUGACUCAGGUAUGGAAUGCAUUUGAUGUCUCAUACAAGCUGGCUGUGGCUAAGACAAACAGGCUGCUCUUGGUUCUGUAGUGAUUUCCCUCUCCAAUCAAGAGCUGUACCAUUUUUUUUUUUUUUUUUAAAUAAAAGGCUCAUUGGAGUUCAUGUCUACCACCAUUUCAGGAGUUCGAUUAAAUGAAAUGGACCAAACUGUGUGUGAUCUCUCCCUUACAGCUGGAAACCUUGAUCUAUAUCAAAGAGAGGCCAGCCUUGGCCUUGAUGACAUAGGCUCUGGAACCUGUGCCACAAAGAAGGCACCUGUUGGCAAGACCGCAGGGCACAGACGAUGACUCUAGGCCACUUCCCUCUAUGCCCGCAUCCGGAAGGUUCUAUUUUCUACCUGAUUCCUCCUGCUGCUGAUCAGAACUGAAUAAGUUGGCUUCUUAACACAAGCUGUGUAACAAGUGCAAGGUCUGGGGAAUACAUUUCCUUAUCAGGUGGAGACUUUGCAUAACUCUUUCAGAUUAUGUCUUAAAAUGAGGCAUGGCCAUGAGAUGGAACAAAAAAAUUAUGCAAACAGGCAUUUCCAGUGUAAUAAAUUAGAUCUUACUCCAAGAAGCCUGCAGAUCUGCUGCCAGCCCUUGGCUAUUGAUAGGAUCCACUGUCUGGGUUGGGAAUGAACUGAAAUUCUGACUACAACCUGCAGAUUAGCAGAGGCUGUGGGGGCCAGCAGUGCCCCGGGGCUGGCCUGCCAGGGCUCUGUUCUACCUCAUUCCACCUGCCACUAACACCGCAUCAGUUGUCUUCUCGCCACUGUGUUCUAACACACUGUUUUGCUGCAGUAGCCAUUGGCAUAGCUGUGAAGGAUGGGAGGGACAGCCUUCAUGCCCUGUUUUGCUCCAGAGGCUUGGAAGCAUCACCUGUGACUAUGGCGGGCUGACAGACUGCGUUACGGAGCCUUAUUUUACAUUGUUCUCUUCAUUCGCUAAAUGUUGGCUGCAGGGAGUGGAAUUUUCUAGGAAGGAUGUCUGAACCUGGAUGGAGCCAGGUUGAUUUGUAGGGGGGAAAUUACACUAUAGAGCUUCAACUAAAUUAAAUCAAUAGAAAAUGCAUUGUUUAGACCACGGUUGGAAGGAAAAAAAAAAAAAAAAAAAGACAUGAGAAAAUUCUUG
Gallus gallus (chicken) is the source of this 2105-nucleotide long non-coding RNA. The record is from Ensembl. NCBI's taxonomy places the organism in Eukaryota, Metazoa, Chordata, Aves, Galliformes, Phasianidae.